GGAGAAGAUGCCAUCUCCUUCAUCAGCUCUGACACCAACAAACAGCCCUCUCUCACCAACCGCUCCAGAUCACCUUCUGUCAAACAAGUCAACUCUGAAGGGGACCAGAGGUUUCUGUCUCCCUGUUCAGAACCAAAGGGAAACAAGCUUUUGAAAAGUUCUGAAGACUCAAAAGUCCAACAAGCUCCACUGAGCAAAGAGCAGCUGACCAGCAGUCUCGUGUCUGCUAAAGGUCCAAGGAGCAGUGCUGAAGUGGAUGUGGAUAUUGUAGAUAUUGAUGUCUAAUGUUGUAGUUCACAUCUGUCAUCAUGACAUUUUUUUGUAUUUACUGUCUUGUGAGUGUUGGUAAAAGACAGCAUUUGAACGUUUGCACUACAUAAUAUCCUGUAGAUGAAAAUUGUGCCAUUUAAAAUGAUCAGGAUCAGAUUCAGAUCUAAUAAGGCGGUGCUGAAAUACUUGUAAAGAAUGUAAAUUCAUGGUGCAUUGCUAUUGCAUACAUUUUGCACUUAGCCUGUGUGGGCUUAAAAAGACAGAAUGAUGCACCUUCAAAUCUUGUGUAAAACACUCAUUCAUGGCUAACUGUAGCGCAAAAAGAAAAAUAU
Long non-coding RNA from Sinocyclocheilus rhinocerous, 602 nucleotides. RefSeq lists it as uncharacterized. The record is from RefSeq and is a predicted model, not a curated record. The transcript has 3 exons. NCBI's taxonomy places the organism in Eukaryota, Metazoa, Chordata, Actinopteri, Cypriniformes, Cyprinidae.